AAAUCCGGUUUACGCUGUUAAAUAGGAGACGUUAGAACCACUUGAAAACUAAAAAGAACACCAAGAAAGGGCCCACACCUCCCAAAAGAGACCCUCUACAAAUACGUGUAUAGCGGUUACAAUCAAAAUGAACAAACGAUACAACCACAAUCAGUGUCAUGAUGCUUUUCGCUGUCGCUCUCGUUGUUGUUGUUGUUUACAUUCCUUUUUGGUUUUGUUUAUACUAGUAUUGCUGUUGUUUUUGUUGUUUACUUGCCAAAAUGUAACUCAGCUAAACCGCAGUUUAUGCGUGUUCCACUUGUUUUGCGUGUUAUUUUAUGUUUUCCGCCACAUUUUUUACGUGCAGUAGUGCUCGCUGUUUUGCUUGUCAUUCGCUAAGCAUGCGAAAUGGCGCAGAACUACACGCACACACACACACACAUCUAAAUUUAAUGUGCUUGUAGCCUUUUUAUUCUAUUUUAUGUGCAUGUGUAUGUGCGCUCUGUGCUAUGUACAAAUAACGCAGAUGCUUUGAGUAGUAACACUUUAAUAUCGUGUAACGUUUCGCCAUAACCACAAGCUAAAAUAACGCGCCCACACAGCAAUAUACAUAUAAAUACAUAAGUAUGUAUUUACAAUUACUGAACGCAAUGUGCGUAAUGACAGCAAACGCAACAUUUUACAUGAUUCAUGAAGCAUGCUCAGGGAUAUUAAUUUAUAUGAGAACUGCUAGCCUCCCCUCUUUCGAUAGAGGCACUCAAUCUCUCUGUCUCUCUCUCUCUUGAUUUACAUAAGACUUUCAUAGUAUAUGUUUCGAUAUGUUAUAUUAUACUACUAUGAGCAAAACAUAUGAAGACUUUAUUCCGAAGUCCUCCUCCAACAUUUCCAGAAAUUUGAUUCCGCACACGAAAUUUAAUGGCACUACUUUGUUGAAUAAUUUCACUCAUAUUAAAAAUGGUCGAAUGCACUUUCUUUCACUCCCCAAGCGACAUCGCUUCACUCUAUGGGAUCUUGAAGAGUUCCAAGAAGAUCCGACGUUUUCGACCCAAUUGUUCAGCGAUGAGGGCUGGCCAGUUCCGGCUCAAUGGUGUAUAUAAUCAGGCACAAUUUACGCGCAGAGCAAUCUGAUGAGAUUCAAGACGGUCAAUGGUGACCAUUAUAGCGCCAUGUUACCGACUAUUUGAUCCCCGAAAUCGAAGCUCGCGAUCUCAACGACAUUUGGUGUCAAGAAGACGGCGCCACAUCCCGCAAAUUGCCUUAAACAAUGGAUUUAUUGAGAGAAAACUUCGGUGAGCAGAUUAUUUCACAUUUUGAGCCGUUCGAUUGGCCAACAAGAUCACUUGAUAUCAUACUGUUAGACUUUUUGCUGUGGGGAUAUGAAAAGUCUAAACUCUAUGCGAAGAAUCCCGCUUCGGUUCAGGUCUUGAAGCAAAGCAUCAGGCGUGUCAUUCGCCAGUUACCAGACGAAGUGCUCGAACAAGUCAUCGAAAAUUGGACACAACGGAUGGAUCAUCUGAGACGUUGCCGCGGCCAACAUUUGAAAUAUAUGAUCUUAAAAAAAUAAUGAUCUUUCCAAUGAUAAUAAACAUUCGCUAUUAAAUUUGAAGUUUCUGCAUUUUUUCCUUAAAUAGCAGGGAACCUCGAAAUGCAUCACCCUUUACUUACUUCAAAUACGUUUUCACAAUGAGCAUCUAUUAAGUUAAUGACUUUGAUAAUGGUUAAAUUACACGGAAAAACCUUGACGAAAUGGGUUAGUCACUUUCAUCGCCGAUAGUUGUAAUUUCUGGUUUUUCACUUCACACCUCGCCGAAGAUGGCGCCGGACUUGUUUGCUGUUGGUGUGCUCUGUUAUUAUAAACUCCUGCGUUUGCUUCACUUCACCGACUUGUAUUACAAUGCAACUUUAAAGCGUCUUGAGUUUCAACCUCGAUAUUCCCGGUUACGGCGAGUCAUACUUAAAAUUUAUUAUUCGAUUUUCGGCAUUUACGCAACAUAUUUCAUAACUAUACUUUUGUUAGUCGUAAUCAGUUUAACGGAGGAACCAGAUAUAUAUACAACACUUGAAGUGGUGAGCGUAGCAUACGUAACCCUUGUAUUAUCGAUGUAUAUGGCGACUUUUCUUAUAAUCUCACACCAAAUACGCAAGAAAAAGACGCAAAAGUUUUUGAAACAGUUUUUUAACAAACUUUUUGAAAUGCAUCAAAAUAUCUUACGGCUGACCGGACAACAUGUAGUUAUGGAGAUACCCACAGCCUUACUGCUGAUGGUAAAAUUAAUAUUCAUUGUUUGGAUUUUAUUCGCAUCUUGGCAGAUAACCAGCUAUGUGAGAAAUUUAGCAGCUUUUCCCAUUUUCGAACUCGCCUUUAUUGCAAACUAUUUAGUCAUUGCCAGAUUGUUGAAACUCCAGCAAGAGUUAAGCAAAUGGAUUGAAAAUCACGAGGCUCAAUACAGUUUCAAAUUUCAAUGCACAGCGGCAUGCAAAACGAGCAACUACCCGAUUCUAAAGGCAAUCUCUUUGUGGAGUCAAUCGUGUAAAAUAACAGCAAACUUUCUGAAUCAGUUCAUUUGGUAUGAAAAACUGGUUCUACUCGAAAAUAUAUUCUGCAUUUAUUUGUCCCAUCAAUUCAUUGUGUGCAUAUUUUUUAAACAAUAUUAUCAUGGAGCUCUGCUGCCAGAUGCUCUAAACCACACUUUCAAUAUGCUCCUCAUUGGCAUGGUUAAUGAUUCGUUGAAGUAUGAGGAAGAUUCUCUCAACAACACAAUGACGGCAUUGGUCGCCAAAUUGACACACCAAACACGGUUGUGCAAGAGCUGUAGAGAUCUUCAAAGAGCGAUCGAUAUUUGCUUCUGUUGCCGAAAUGUGCGUUCCAAUGGCAUCUAUAUUUUCGGGAGUUUCUGGACCAGAGGUUACGUAAUCGAUAUUAUUCAAAGCUUAGUAUUAUUGGGAGUUAGUAUCACGCAAUUUGAUACACAGGGAACGUACAAUUGUAACUUUGACCCUGAAUAUUUGGACACAUUUGAAGCGCUCUAAUGCACCAGGACAUGACAGGCACAUGAAAGAGGACAAUUGAGGCCACAUGAUGAAACUAACCGUGGAAGAUGAAUGGCGGAAAGGAAAUAAAUUGUAUAGUGAAAACAGUAAAACUUGAAGAAAUAGUAAAAAAUGGCCGGCAGCAGCUAAUACAAACAGUUUUACAAAAUAAGACCAACCUUUAUGGCAACGCAGAGGACUGCAUAUGACAGUUCAAGUGCAAUCUUUGGAGCAGCCAUCAAACUUAACCUAACCUAACACUUUACAUUUAUCCCCCGCAGACAUAGUUAUAUGCGUCCACAUGCUUGCAGCAAUUUCGAUAUUAAAAACGCACGAAAAAGUAAAUUAUCAAAUCGAUUGCAAAGAAAAUAAAAUACGUACGCUAUUUGCAAAUGCAGCAUGCAUGUCGAAGCUUUAAGCUCGCCCGCAUUUGUGGCUGCUAGCAGCUGUAGACAUAACCAUAUAAGUCUAACC
Bactrocera neohumeralis is the source of this 3483-nucleotide RNA transcript. RefSeq lists it as uncharacterized. The record is from RefSeq and is a predicted model, not a curated record. The transcript has 4 exons. Lineage: Eukaryota; Metazoa; Arthropoda; Insecta; Diptera; Tephritidae.